GACGAACGCUGGCGGCGUGCCUAUACAUGCAAGUCGAACGAGGUUUGGUCAGUUUGCGGUGGUGCUUGCAUCACCAAUUACCGAUCAAACCGAGUGGCGGACGGGUGAGUAACACGUGGGUAACCUGCCCUUCAGCGGGGGAUAACAUUUGGAAACAGAUGCUAAUACCGUAUAACCACGGAGACCGCAUGGUCUCCGGGUAAAAGAUGGCGCAAGCUAUCACUGAAGGAUGGACCCGCGGCGUAUUAGCUAGUUGGUGAGGUAAAGGCUCACCAAGGCAGUGAUACGUAGCCGACCUGAGAGGGUGAUCGGCCACAUUGGGACUGAGACACGGCCCAAACUCCUACGGGAGGUAGCAGUAGGGAAUCUUCCACAAUGGGCGCAAGCCUGAUGGAGCAACACCGCGUGAGUGAAGAAGGGUUUCGGCUCGUAAAGCUCUGUUGUUAAAGAAGAACACGUAUGAGAGUAACUGUUCAUACGUUGACGGUAUUUAACCAGAAAGUCACGGCUAACUACGUGCCAGCAGCCGCGGUAAUACGUAGGUGGCAAGCGUUAUCCGGAUUUAUUGGGCGUAAAGAGAGUGCAGGCGGUUUUCUAAGUCUGAUGUGAAAGCCUUCGGCUUAACCGGAGAAGUGCAUCGGAAACUGGAUAACUUGAGUGCAGAAGA
RNAcentral lists this ribosomal RNA (667 nucleotides) under uncultured Lactobacillus sp. RNAcentral describes it as "bacterial SSU rRNA". It matches the Rfam family "Bacterial small subunit ribosomal RNA", at positions 28 to 655 of the family's 1533-position model. The record is from RNAcentral. Lineage: Bacteria; Bacillati; Bacillota; Bacilli; Lactobacillales; Lactobacillaceae.